GACGAACGCUGGCGGCGUGCUUAACACAUGCAAGUCGAACGGAAAGGCCCUGCUUUUGUGGGGUGCUCGAGUGGCGAACGGGUGAGUAACACGUGAGUAACCUGCCCUUGACUUUGGGAUAACUUCAGGAAACUGGGGCUAAUACCGGAUAGGAGCUCCUGCUGCAUGGUGGGGGUUGGAAAGUUUCGGCGGUUGGGGAUGGACUCGCGGCUUAUCAGCUUGUUGGUGGGGUAGUGGCUUACCAAGGCUUUGACGGGUAGCCGGCCUGAGAGGGUGACCGGCCGGGGGGCGCGGGGGGUACGGCCCAGGGCCGGGGGGGAGGAGGAGGGGGGGAGGGUGGCAGGAGGCGCGGAGGCCAGCGGCGGCGGCGGGGCGGGGGGGUGGAGCGCCGGGGGGUUGGACAACGAGGUCGCCUGGGGCGAAGGGAGGGGGAGGGUGAGGGAAAAAAAACGACCGGCUAAGUACGCGCGGGCAGGCGAGGUAAGAAGCGGAAGAGCACGCGGCUGUCC
Molecule: ribosomal RNA, 509 nt
Filed under: uncultured bacterium
Lineage: Bacteria
Description: partial 16S ribosomal RNA
Rfam family: Bacterial small subunit ribosomal RNA (bases 20-331)
Source: RNAcentral